UCGGGAAUAUUGCGGCAAUGGAGGAAACUCUGACGCAGUGACGCCGCGUGCGGGAAGAAGGUUUUCGGAUUGUAAACUGCUUUAGACAGGGAAGAAAAAAGACAGUACCUGUAGAAUAAGCUCCGGCUAACUACGUGCCAGCAGCCGCGGUAAUACGUAGGGAGCAAGCGUUAUCCGGAUUUAUUGGGUGUAAAGGGUGCGUAGACGGGAAGGCAAGUUAGUUGUGAAAUCCCUCGGCUUAACUGAGGAACUGCAACUAAAACUAUCUUUCUUGAGUGCUGGAGAGGAAAGUGGAAUUCCUAGUGUAGCGGUGAAAUGCGUAGAUAUUAGGAGGAACACCAGUGGCGAAAGGCGACUUUCUGGACAGUAACU
This 372-nucleotide ribosomal RNA is filed under the name uncultured Acetivibrio sp. RNAcentral's name for it is "bacterial SSU rRNA". It matches the Rfam family "Bacterial small subunit ribosomal RNA", at positions 355 to 741 of the family's 1533-position model. The record is from RNAcentral. Lineage: Bacteria; Bacillati; Bacillota; Clostridia; Acetivibrionales; Acetivibrionaceae.